GACGAACGCUGGCGGCGUGCCUAAUACAUGCAAGUGGGACGCAAGGAAACACACUGUGCUUGCACACCGUGUUUUCUUGAGUCGCGAACGGGUGAGUAACGCGUAGGUAACCUGCCUAUUAGCGGGGGAUAACUAUUGGAAACGAUAGCUAAUACCGCAUAAUAUUAAUUAUUGCAUGAUAAUUGAUUGAAAGAUGCAAGCGCAUCACUAGUAGAUGGACCUGCGUUGUAUUAGCUAGUUGGUAAGGUAAGAGCUUACCAAGGCGACGAUACAUAGCCGACCUGAGAGGGUGAUCGGCCACACUGGGACUGAGACACGGCCCAGACUCCUACGGGAGGCAGCAGUAGGGAAUCUUCGGCAAUGGACGAAAGUCUGACCGAGCAACGCCGCGUGAGUGAAGAAGGUUGUCGGAUCGUAAAGCUCUGUUGUAAGUCAAGAACGUGUGUGAGAGUGGAAAGUUCACACAGUGACGGUAGCUUACCAGAAAGGGACGGCUAACUACGUG
RNAcentral lists this ribosomal RNA (505 nucleotides) under uncultured bacterium. Its description in RNAcentral is "partial 16S ribosomal RNA". It matches the Rfam family "Bacterial small subunit ribosomal RNA", at positions 28 to 507 of the family's 1533-position model. The record is from RNAcentral.